This 4646-nucleotide long non-coding RNA is filed under the name Triticum aestivum (bread wheat). RNAcentral's name for it is "long non-coding RNA (TAES_LNC027209)". The record is from RNAcentral. Lineage: Eukaryota; Viridiplantae; Streptophyta; Magnoliopsida; Poales; Poaceae.
AAAAAGUGAUUGAUAUGUUAACCAGAAAAAAGAGAAUAAGCUAGAUAAUCCCAUAAUAAUUAGAAUCAUCUAACCGUUGAAUCUAACAAGCCAUUAUCAGUAAUUAGAUCUCAACCAAUGAAUUUCAUUAAUGCAUCCCAGCUCGCCCACAUCCCGUGGAUAUGGAGAUCUUAAAAAAGAUCACGUCCGCUCUAUUCCCGUCCAUAUAGGCAGAUCUAAAAAAUACAUGCCCGCUCACGUACGUACAUAGGGAGAUCUAUAAGAAAGAUUUACAGCCCAACUAAAAAAAGACAGGAAGUUGUCUUCCAGAAAUAUCUCCUUCAAGAUUCCCUUGGCUCUCCAGCUCCACCAACGCACCAAAACUCGAGAGAAUCCUAGCGCCGUUCUCCACUGCCGCUCCAUGAUGUCUUGGAUUUUAAAGUUCCGUCCACAUAGCGACGGCAUGGAUGCAGACAUACACGAUGAACUGCCCAACCACCAUCAGGAACUGAAUGUGGAUCUCUCCCAUCACGAGCAUGGAUGGCUACUCGACGUACAUGUCGGACGGAUCAGAAAAAAAAGAACUGGGGUGCCCUAUCACGUCCACCAUCAUCGUUGGAAUUGAUGUCGCCUAGCCCUUCCGAGGUGACUAUUUGACUGGCACAUCAAAGUCCUCAUUUUUCCAAGAAUUUGUUAUGUUAUUUAAUUAAUACUAUCUCUGUCUCAUAAUAUACCUAGAAGUUGAUAUGCAAUGCCAAGAUAUAGCAUCCGUCCUUUGCAUGUACCCCUUUGUUUCUUUUUUAAACUGCUCUAUUCUCUAAUUGAUAUCACAUAUGUGCAUUGCCAAAAUAUGCCCAACUAAUAAGUUUAGGCUCAAUUUUCACUUGAGCGUAAAAAAUUACAUCGACAAUGAAGAAACAUGUUUCUUUUCUAUCACAAUGGUACAUGAAAGCAGAAUAUACAUAUUCAUCAGACAAAAAAUUCUCAGUACAUGCAAUUUAGUGCCCAAAAAGUUUAAUUUGACUAAUGUAUGUAUUUAUUAGUCGGACUAACAAAUAGUCCAUAUAGUUUUAUGCCCGAGAAGUCUAUUUCGACUGAUGUGAGUAGUUAUUAGUCAUACUUUCAAAUAGUUAUUUUAUGGUCAAUAUUCAUGCUCACAUAUCCCGUACAUUAUAUAUUAGGUAUUCACCAACUCCAAGCUUACAAGAAUAACCUUCCAACAAAAUUUACAAAAAUGUUAAACGGGAAUUCAUUGCCGCCGCUGACCUGCACAAGCCGAUUGCACGUCCUGAGUCUACCCAUAUGCCGCACCUGCACCGCGAUGCCAAAGUCACAGAGUUGUUGUAACUACAACCAAUGUUUAUUAGAAGUACAUGCAAAGCUAACCCAAUAAAAAAGACAUACCAGAAAAUCCAACAAAGAAUCAAAACAUCCAACAAUUAAAGCACGUACCAUAAAUAUUAAUAGAUCUACACCAAUGUAUCUCCUUAAUUUAUAACCAUCCAAGACACCAGUAAUCUAAAUCCACUCAAAUCAAUCUUGAUUACUUAAGAUUUUCCUCUGCAUCGCUUACUUGGUUUUAGUUUUUUGUGCAACCUACAGUUACCUAUAUCUUACAAGUUAUACGACUGUUGUGUCCAUUUAUACAGUAAUUGAGAACCAAAUGAGUUCUAGAACAUUGGCGUUCAAACUGUACUUAACUUUUUGUGCCGAGAUGAAAAUGUUCAUGCUUACUACUUUAUUGUUGUCUGCUUCCUAGGUCCUAAACCUAAUUUUUUGCUAUUUGGUAUUCCUCUAUUAUAUAAAAAAGCCAGAAAAUUUUGCUCCAAAUAACCUGAAUUUAUUUUCUUGCUUGAUUUUGCAUUAGACUGAGUUAAGCGAAAGGGAUAGCAUCGUGAUGAGGAAGAAAAUGGACAAUGCUCAAGAUAAUUACUCCCAAAACUAAGCAUUGUUUAGAGCUGCACUUCUUAAAAGAAUUGUAGUUACUCUCAGCCACCUAGCGAUGCACAGUUCUUUGUGCAGUUGUCAAGUUCUUAACAGUGAGAUGUUACACCUAAUAUUUUAUCCCGGUGAAUAAGCCAUGCCAAAAAUGGAUACAUGGAUUACAAGUGUUGUGAAAGUCACGAGAGAAGAAUUUUAAGGUUAUCAAGAGGCAAGCCACUUACCUUUACUUCCACUUACCAAUAUUGUGCUUGUAGACCAUUGUACGUAAUAUUGAGGAUUGUCCAAUCAACUCGAGCCAGAGACGUAACAACCUACAGUAUUAACUCCGUCCAGCGACAACAACACCUCCAGCAGGUAUCAUCUUAUGCGCGACAUCAAGCCAUUUGCAUGAUUCACUGUAUGCCAGACUGAUGAAUAGAUAAACAAUACUUGAUCAAUAAAUCUUUCUAAAAUAGAAAAAGUCAAUCUGUACAUUGCAGAUUAAUUAACAUUACCACAGAACUAUCCCCAUGCUUAGUACAUACAUACAUGUAGGUUCUUUGCUAUAUUACUUACUUUAGAAACUAAAGUUUCUAUUUCAUUUUAUAUCAGAUUGAUGAACUGGCCAUUGACCAUUGAUCAAUGAUACUUUAAUUAUAUUCAACAAAGUGCUCAUUUAGAUAGACUGGACAAAGAUAGCCUAAACAAUCACUAUAUGUGCAUGCCGAAAUAAUAAAAGUAUAAUAUGACUGUUUCCUUGACAUACUUACAUUUCCCUUGAGCUAAUACUUACAUUUUCACGGUUUCCUUGGAAAACAAAAAAACUAAACAUUAAUAUAAUUUGUUUACCUAUUAUAUUAGUUACAUUAAUGAUUAACAUGACAAUUUCCUUUUUAGGGCCUCCAAUAGUAUGGUAUGUACACUGUUGAAUCCAUUGGCUAUAAGCAUUGGGACAAGAAAAAAUAAGCUCAAAGUUUAAGGCUCUGGGACACAAUCAACUUAUCUACCAAUGAACUUAUUAGCACUAAUAUGAUUUUAACACAUAAAUAUAUAGUUUGCUUUUUUUAAUUCCUUUUCAUCAUUCAAAGUUUGCUAAUAUUCCCUUUGUAUCUUGGGCAAUACGACCCGUGCUUCUAUUGGGAACAAACUGUUCAACAAGUUAGCCAAAAAUAAAGGGGACUCUACCUACAUAUUUAACACCUUUGAAGUUUUGGGAGUGUGAAUUGUUUUGACCAUUGAAGAACAAUCUAAAAAACAGUUUCCUUUUUUAUAUAACAGUGAAGAAAGUUGAGGAAAGAGUUUCAGAUUUUUUUCGGGCUAAACUUGAAAGUUGUUGAUGGAGAUACCUUAGAGAGUAGGGUAAAUAUUGGUAAAAGAGUGUUCAGGUAUGUAUAUUCAUGAAACGAAGUGGCUGAAAAUGUGAAAAUGUACAUCUACGGUGAGCAUACUCUCCAUCAUAUUAGGUACACACUAAAACUCAAGAGAAGCGAUGAGAUGGUAACAUAACAUUUAUCAUGUUUAUUGAGGUAGCACAAAGACGUUUAGGCAGCAUCUGUGCAUCUACUACUAUGAUCAUUUGGUGGAAAUAGUUCAUUACUACCAAACAUCGACAUAUAUAUUAUUUAGUGCAAACCAAUAGUGGGAGCAUCGGGAGAUUGCUAUAUAUCAUAUGUAUAAUGUGAUUAGACCUGUUUUCAUAUUCAGUUAUUUAUCUUAUUUUUUCUUUGGGAAAAAUUAAAACUACAGCUAAUCACAAAUGUACCAAUUAUUGAAGUUUGUUGAAUAUUAAGGCCUAACACUGCCAAUGCCGGUCAAAAUCCCGGAAAAAAGUGGAAGGGGCAUAAAAAAAUUAACACUAUGCCUUAAGAUGGAAGUAGUAAAACAUCUUAUAAAAGUUUAUAGAGGGAGUAUUUAGCAGUAAAACAAAACUCUCAUCAUUUAGUACCUUCAUCGCACGUCAAUCAAAUGUACUAAUUUGCAUUGGUAUGUCUGCUCAGACAUAUACUUACAUUUUUACAAUUUCACAAACUUAUCAGUAUCGACCUCAUUGAACACUUAAAGAGCACUUAAACAAAAGAAUUGUAUGUAUUCCAAAUUUUGGAAGAAAAAUGACCAAACAUUUACCACUAAUAGGCAUCUACUUAAUAACAAUAUAUUGGUUGAGUCGAACAAAAAAUGUUAAGAAAAGGGGGGACAUAUGAGUAAAGAACAGGAAAAUGGGGGACCUGCAGGUCGGACUUCGAACUUCGGAAAAUGUCGACACCUUGGAGGAUGACAACGACGUGCCGGGCUACCUGGAGCGAGAAUACCAAUGAUGUUUCUGGCUUGCACACUUGGGGAAGACAACGUCGCCAGCAUCCUAAUACUCAAGAUGGAUCCAACCGGGCUGCAUGAGACGACAUUCUGCCCAAAUCAACUGCACGGACGCCAAGAACACCGACACCGUGCAGAUCAAUGAUUCCUUGCUACACUUGAUCCUUGGACCCGACUACUCCUCAAUCGCCAUUCAACAGCGUACGAGACUGAGGAGACAUACGAGAAGCCAUACUAGCCGCCGCUGAUGGACACAAUAUGGAAGCACCGGUUGCGAAUCAAGAGAGCAAGUUGAUGGGAGCUAUCCAGCGGCAGCAAUUUUGGAGUGAGCAGAUAGAAUAAGGAAAGGAGAAAGGGGAUCGGGCGAGAGGGAGUGUGAGUGGGUAAGAUGAACUGAGAAGUCGAGAAGACUAUAGAAUGGGGAAAGUGAA